Molecule: ribosomal RNA, 432 nt
Filed under: uncultured bacterium
Lineage: Bacteria
Description: bacterial SSU rRNA
Rfam family: Bacterial small subunit ribosomal RNA
Source: RNAcentral
AACGAACGCUGGCGGCAGGCCUAACACAUGCAAGUCGAGCGAGAUCUUCGGAUCUAGCGGCGGACGGGUGAGUAACGCGUGGGAAUAUGCCCUUUGGUACGGAAUAGCCUCGGGAAACUGGGAGUAAUACCGUAUGUGCCCUUCGGGGAAAGAUUUAUCGCCAAAGGAUUAGCCCGCGUUGGAUUAGGUAGUUGGUGGGGUAAUGGCCUACCAAGCCUACGAUCCAUAGCUGGUUUGAGAGGAUGAUCAGCCACACUGGGACUGAGACACGGCCCAGACUCCUACGGGAGGCAGCAGUGGGGAAUCUUAGACAAUGGGGGAAACCCUGAUCUAGCCAUGCCGCGUGAUCGAUGAAGGCCUUAGGGUUGUAAAGAUCUUUCAGCUGGGAAGAUAAUGACGGUACCAGCAGAAGAAGCCCCGGCUAACUCCGUG